Molecule: long non-coding RNA, 1325 nt
Organism: Spinacia oleracea (spinach)
Lineage: Eukaryota; Viridiplantae; Streptophyta; Magnoliopsida; Caryophyllales; Amaranthaceae
Exons: 7
Source: RefSeq, a predicted model, not a curated record
GGCUUUGAUGAUAAUGUUCAGCAGGCUGAUGUUUGUAUAAACAAUGAUUCCCUCUUUUUUUUUUGUUUCUCUACACCCCCAGCAGGCUGUAGGCUGUUAUGAUUACAUUGAAUGAGAUAAAAUGCAACAUUCCUCCAGGACAGUGUAGAACAGUUUCAUUUCACAUGGAAAUUUGAAAUUAUCUUGUUUCUGGUUGUAUCCACUUGAGGAAGCACUAGAACUAACACCUCUAAUAAUAUAUGGCUUGAGCCCUUUACCUGGGAGGUUAGUUAUUUUGUAACCUUAUUUUCUUUUGCUGAUAUAUUUUCCACAUUUUAUGGGAAAGCUUGCGAAGUUAACUUCUCGUUCCGUUAAUUUCUUAUACACAAACUUGCAACUGAAUAUUUCGACUUCUUUUUUACAAGGUUUUUUUUACUUAUUACUGUCACAUUUGGUCACUUGGGAUUUGAUUAUUUCUUUGCCAUAAGAGAAAGAGUGCAAUAAGACGACAAAAGAAAGUGAAGGGAUAUGACCUAUCCCACCCAAAUGAGUUCUUGCCUGAGCUGAAAGAAGAACAACAGCUUGCUCUUCCACCUAACGAAGUGAACUGCAAAUCCAGACAAAACCUAUUGUACAAAUGGAAGUGUUUCUUUUGACCCAUCUCUUGAUAUAAGAAGACAGAAGAACGACACCACGCUGUCAAACUUAGGAUCUGUGAAGGAUAACGAAAGACAAGAUCUUAACUGUGCUGUGAAGGAAUACUUACUCUUGGUAGGGUAUCGUCUGACUGCAAUGACAUUCUAUGAAGAGGUUAUGGAUCAGGAAAAUAGAUACACCAUGUAACUUUGUUGCCUUGUUUCAUGGAAUGCAUAUGUAUGAUUGUGUGAUGCUAUCACUGCCUUACUUGGUAGCUUCAACUUGCCACUCAGUACUUCGGAUCUUGCCGCCGCCAAACUAAUAAGGAAAUAUUCUCUCCGUGGAUUAAUAAGGAUCCACAGAAUACAGAAGUUGGAGGUGAAUUAUUUUCGACGCCAUUGACCUGAAACACCAUCUAGGGGAUCAUACUUAUGUCUCAGUAACUGAUAGUGGUUACUGGCAGAUAGAGCUAGAAGGUCUUGACAUUGCAAACAGUUCAACAGGUCACUGUUCGGCAGAAUACUGCAUCAUGUGAAGAGAUGGCUACAACAAUGUCUACGGCAGAAUCUGUAGCUCUUAAAGGACUACCUCAAUGCAUUGUUACUGUGAUAGCUGAGUUUGCCAGAUUCAGCAAGACUUUGAUAUUAUACUGGAGCCAUGUCCCAUGUUUGCCGAAGCCAUCCUUCAAGUCAGAAUCAGUACCCUGGGGU